GACGGGGGGGGCGAGCGUUGUCCGGAAUUACUGGGCGUAAAGGGCGCGUAGGCGGUCGCGUACGGCGGUGGUGAAAGCUCCCGGCUCAACUGGGAGAGGCCCGCCGCAACGGCGUGACUCGAGGGUGGUAGAGGCGGAUGGAAUUCCUGGUGUAACGGUGAAAUGUGUAGAGAUCAGGAGGAACACCCGUGGCGAAGGCGGUCCGCUGGGCCAUGCCUGACGCUGAGGCGCGAAAGCCAGGGGAGCGAACGGGAUUAGAUACCCCGGUAGUCCUGGCCGUAAACGAUGGAUACUAGGUGUCUGUGGUAUCGACCCCAUGGGUGCCGGAGCUAACGCGUGAAGUAUCCCGCCUGGGGAGUACGGCCGCAAGGUUG
This 374-nucleotide ribosomal RNA is filed under the name uncultured prokaryote. RNAcentral's name for it is "bacterial SSU rRNA". It matches the Rfam family "Bacterial small subunit ribosomal RNA", at positions 524 to 896 of the family's 1533-position model. The record is from RNAcentral.